This 517-nucleotide ribosomal RNA is filed under the name uncultured microorganism. RNAcentral describes it as "bacterial SSU rRNA". It matches the Rfam family "Bacterial small subunit ribosomal RNA", at positions 9 to 521 of the family's 1533-position model. The record is from RNAcentral.
GAGUUUGAUCCUGGCUCAGAUUGAACGCUGGCGGCAGGCCUAACACAUGCAAGUCGAGCGGAUGAAGGGAGCUUGCUCCUGGAUUCAGCGGCGGACGGGUGAGUAAUGCCUAGGAAUCUGCCUGGUAGUGGGGGAUAACGUCCGGAAACGGGCGCUAAUACCGCAUACGUCCUGAGGGAGAAAGUGGGGGAUCUUCGGACCUCACGCUAUCAGAUGAGCCUAGGUCGGAUUAGCUAGUUGGUGGGGUAAAGGCCUACCAAGGCGACGAUCCGUAACUGGUCUGAGAGGAUGAUCAGUCACACUGGAACUGAGACACGGUCCAGACUCCUACGGGAGGCAGCAGUGGGGAACAUUGGACAAUGGGCGAAAGCCUGAUCCAGCCAUGCCGCGUGUGUGAAGAAGGUCUUCGGAUUGUAAAGCACUUUAAGUUGGGAGGAAGGGCAGUAAGUUAAUACCUUGCUGUUUUGACGUUACCAACAGAAUAAGCACCGGCUAACUUCGUGCCAGCCGCCGCGGU